This is an unclassified non-coding RNA of Octopus bimaculoides (California two-spot octopus), 4576 nucleotides long. NCBI's taxonomy places the organism in Eukaryota, Metazoa, Mollusca, Cephalopoda, Octopoda, Octopodidae. The record is from RefSeq and is a predicted model, not a curated record.
CUAGCUUCCUCGCACAGGCGUUCUCUGCUAUGUCCGAUUGUCACUUACAUAAUGUGUCUGCCGCCCAGAGUCAAUCGAAUUCCUUUCAGUUCCUGGUCUCGCGUUCUUAAAGGGCUCCUGGCAAGCACAAGAACAUUUUUCUUCCACUUGCACCAGCAGAAUAGACUAAACUCAAUGUCGUUAUCUUCAUGCUAUUUAGAAACACUUGUAUCAAGUCUUCUUUCUAUAUAUACAAAGCACAACUAAUGUCUCCACGCUUUAAUUCAUUUACUGCAAAGACACCAGAGACAUUUCUAUUAAACACUACACAUCUCCAAACAGAAUUCUAUGCAAUGCAAUUCAUGUAUAACUCACUAUUACAAUAAACUUUAUAAUCUUAAAGUGACUUGUCAUUGUGUAUCAACGAAUACAGUAAUGGCGUCUGUUUUCCACCACGGCUAUCAACAUCUACCGUCGACAUGGUCAUCUUCAACCGACAAACAUGGAGACAACCUUUGACGAACUAAUAACCAACGGACUACGUUAAGGCGGUGGUAUGAAGAAACUGCCACACUGAUGACCUUCAGCGAACCAUUCUAUCAAUACAGCAAACCCCAUUCUUCACCGAAGCGGUGAAACCAUAAUCUCUUCGCUACAACCUGUUACACGAGAUGUUGUUUCUGUGUAAACAUUAAACGCAGUCCCAGACGUUCCGCAUUUUCGAAAUAUAAAACUGAUAUUUGUUCUUAAUUACAUUGCUCUUGUUUAAAGAUAGGAGGCGAUUAAACUUCUCAAAGAAUACAUCUCUUUUGUUCUAUAUGGAAAAACUGAUAUUUUAUAAUCGUUUUCUCGUUACAUCUCGUUAUAUCUACUCCUCGUUGAGUUAAUACAUCAGGUGGAAUUUUGUUUUUGUACACUAAAUACAUUUAUUUUGGUUGGUCUACCCUAAUACACUUAUUUCCCCCCAUCUAAUCUACCUAAUUAUUUAGUCCAAAGAGAAGAGGUGAUGUCCAUAACGUCUACAUUCGCCUGACGAUGUGGAUCUUGAUUUUAGAAGAUAAAAUGAGGACACAAAAUGUAGUAGUCGUGCAAGUCGACUGUUAAUUACGCGAAUUAGUAGAUAAGAGAGAGUAGUAGUAGUGGUAGUAAGAAAGAGAAACGAGAGAAGAAUUUGCGACUCGCUCUCCUUCAAAUGCCAUAAAUAAUACGACUAUAGGACGGGGUACAAAUACUUCCUGCUUUCCGUGAGGUAUAUGACUCCAGGCGACAGCUAUUCUUAUAUAUAAGCUUGCUUUAUGGGUCACUGUCGCUUGAUGUUAGCUGCGUGUCAUUCCAUAACGAAGCAAGAGAAUAAAGAAUUGAAAUAAAUUCAUUUGUUAUUCAGGUAACUACAAUAUCUAGAUUUAAACACGGAAGUUUUCUAGGCAGUCAACAUAGGCAUAUGGUCCCGGGGACCAAGAAUCCUGGAAAGUCUCAGUAAUGUCUCAUGUGUCAAGAACCUGGAGGGUCUCAGGGAUACGGUCCUGGGGGCCAAAUGCUGAGUCUCAGGGAUAAGGUCUCGGGGACCAAAUAUGUCGAGCGUCUCAGGGACAUGGGGUUAGUGAGAAAGAGAGACUGAGUGGGCUGGGUAGAGGGGACCGGGAACUAUGAAUUGUAUAAGGGUGAAAAUGGAGAGAUUGGUUUGAAAGAGAUAGAGAGAUGAGGGGAGUGAGGAGCUAAAGAACUUGAGUGGACAUGUGUCUGUGAAAGAAUGAUGAGGGGGAGGCCAGAGAAAGAGAGAGAGAGGAAGUUGAGAGGGUGUGUGAGGCAGCAGAGAAGCUGUGGGGAGUUAAUAGAAUGUUCGGUGUUGAAUUUAGGGUCCAUAAAUCGUUCGUGCGUUUGUCACCAAAAUAAAAACAAAAUAAAAGGGUUAUAGGUGUAAAAACGUAUAUUAAAUGAAUAUGGAAACAAACAUUAGCACCAACGAGAGGGCUUUCAGAAAAUUCACAUGAUCCGACUUUUUCCCUCAUAACUUUUAGGAAAAUAGACAGAUUUUAAUGAAAUUUUAUAUAAAUACCUUUCAAAAGGCAUAGAAUAUGAUUAUAAUGAAAUUAGUGGGUGAAAGUUUUUCCAAGUGGGUAGGCAGAAGACUUUUGAAGAGAAAGAAAUUCAUAAACUAUUUUUUUGCUUGAGUGAAAUGGAAAAAAGUUUGAAAAAUAAUUUUUUAGAUUCAUUUAUAUAUAUUAUAUAUAUAUAUACACACACACACACACAGUGUAUCACACUAGUAUUACUUGGGCCAGUGAUGACAGAUCAAAGAUAUACAUACAAGAGACUGAACAUUCAUUUUAUACCAGCACUCUUUAAAUCAUUGCUACAGUUGAUCAUACAGAUUGCUUAUUUAAAUGGGAUAAUUUUGAAGGUUGUGAGCCAAUAGUAGGCUGCUAUUAUGGGGUCAAUGAAAGUACCAUAUGCUACAUAAAGAACAAGGUAGCGAUCAGGACUACCGUAGCAGUAAGUUUCUGUGAAAGUGCCAAAAAGAUGAGGAUAGUGAGAAAUGAGCACUUUGUCAGGAUGGAAUCUGCCUUGGCAUUGUGAAUCAGUUGACUGCAAGAAGAAAAACAUCCUCUGCGAGAAAGUGCAGAAAUUAUACCAGCAGUUUGACAGGAGAUGGAGCUGAAGGCACCUAAGUAAUGCAACCAAGACCAUCGACAGCACCGAUGCCCAAAGAUUUUCAAGCCAGCAUGGGAUGGUUUGACUGUUUCAAGAAACAGUUUAAAAUAAAGUGUGAUUGCCUGUAUGAAGAGACAGCAUCAGUUGACAAAGAAGCCGCCGAGAAGUACCUGGAGACCUUUAGGCAGACCAUUGAGAACAAGGGAUACAAGCUGUAACAGGUUUUCAAUUUGGACAAAACUGGCUUGUUCUGGAAGAAGAUGCCUUCCAGAACAUACAUCAUGAAGGACGAAGCCAGAGUCCCAGGAUUUAAGGCACAGAAGGACAAAGUGACGCUAAUUAUGGGUGGCAAUGCUGUUGGCUUUAUGAUGAAACCGGGACUUAUCUACAAGUUCGCAAACCUUCAAAAAUAAGAAUAAAAACCUGCUGCCUGUCAGGUUGUGCCAGACACAACCCAAAGGCCUGGAUUACCAAAAGUCUAACUCUGAAUUGGUUCCAUCAAUAAUUCAUCCCUCAAGCCAAGGAAUACCUCCAAAGCGUAAGCAUGGAAUUCAUGAUGUUGCUUGUGAAGGAUAAUGCUGAUGGUCACUCUUUGUAUUUGUAUCAUCAGGGUGUUCAAGUUGAGUUUGUCUCUGUCAGCACCACCUCCUUCAUCAAGCCUAUGGAUCAAGGUGUGAUCUGUGCCUUCAAGACACUUUACGCUCAGAACUCUCUCCAACACCUUGUGGACAUAAUAGAUUCGGACGAGAAUUUCAAGUUAAAGGAGUACGGGCGUAACUUCACGAUCGCAACAUGACUGUCACUCAUCCAUGCUGCUCUUAGAGAUGAAAAAGGAAACCCACAUCGCAUGCUGGAAGCAGGAAUGCCUGAGUGUGUCCAGGACUAUGAGAGCUUCUCACCUGAAGAUAUUCAGCAUGAGACUGUUAACGACACAGUGAAACUGGCAAUGGUUUUGAUGAUGUCAUGCAGGAAGAGGUCAACGAUAUGUUGGAGUUAACGAAGUCUGCCAGCAAAGUGGAGGCAGAAGCAUCAGAUCCAGAGGAAGAGGAGGAUGUGGUGGGCCUGGCAAUCAAACAUCUGUCUGACCUUUUAAGGACAGCAAAGAAAUUGCAAGGGAAGGCUGAAACAGGGGAUCCUUAUAUGGUUCGAUCUCUCCAAUUUGAAAAUGUCAUCGAUGCUGCUAUGCAGACAUAUAAAACACUCUUCACCACCUUGAAGAAACGACGACACCAACUUCCCAUGACAAUGUUCCUCAUGCUCACCAAGAAAGCCUUGCAUGAAGAUACAACAUCCCCUAAAACAUCUCAAGAAGGGAUGUCACCAGAAGAGCUUUAAAUGUUUGCUGUGCAGUAAUUACCUUUAUUAUUUUCAUCAUUAUCGUCUUAAAUCAAUAUCAUUAUUGUGUCUGCUAUAAGAGAAAGAUCAAUAGUAUAUAACUAUUCCCAGGGACAACCGGUCUUGAAAUCUUGUGUUACGGCCUGGGAGACAAUAACGCACAGGAGUGUUUUGAGAACUGAACCCUGGUGAACCCCUACCGUUUAUGAUUCUAGCUCCGUACCAAAGUAAUGCUCUUACUUAUUCCAUCCAAUCAAUUUCGAGCCACAACACCAAUCUCAGUCUUCAGAAAUAUUCUUUACUUGGCUGUUCUUUCAUAUCCUUCUCCAUGGUUGGACUCUGAUAUACCAAGAGUGAAACAAGGGUGUCAUGUAUGUUAAAGGUAAAAUGGACGACAAGGACCAUAGAAACAUUGGAAACAACUGUUUAAGAGAUAGAGAGAGACAAAUGAAUGUUACAAACCUUUGAUUGAGACAUAUCCCAGACUGGAGUUAUAAAAGGCAGUGCAGAGUCGACCCCGGAAGGACUAAAGAACACAAGAUAUUCUGGUUGACCUUUCUGUAAAAGAAAUAUGAAAAAUAAAUAAAUAUAUCUAUUAAAUCUAAAACAA